RNAcentral lists this transfer RNA (71 nucleotides) under Vermiviatum covidum. RNAcentral describes it as "tRNA-Ser". Lineage: Eukaryota; Metazoa; Platyhelminthes; Tricladida; Geoplanidae. The record is from RNAcentral.
GAAAGAUUUUAGUAUUAAAGUAAUAGAUUUCUAAUCUGUUUAUUGAAGAAUUUACAAUUUUUCAUCUUUUA